UACGGAGGGGGCUAGCGUUGUUCGGAAUUACUGGGCGUAAAGCGCACGUAGGCGGGCUGGCAAGUUGGGGGUGAAAUCCCGGGGCUCAACCCCGGAACUGCCUCCAAAACCUCCAGUCUUGAGGUCGAGAGAGGUGAGUGGAAUUCCGAGUGUAGAGGUGAAAUUCGUAGAUAUUCGGAGGAACACCAGUGGCGAAGGCGGCUCACUGGCUCGAUACUGACGCUGAGGUGCGAAAGCGUGGGGAGCAAACAGG
Molecule: ribosomal RNA, 253 nt
Filed under: uncultured bacterium
Lineage: Bacteria
Description: partial 16S ribosomal RNA
Rfam family: Bacterial small subunit ribosomal RNA
Source: RNAcentral